UGGCACUCAGAGCUCUACUAUUUCAUAUCUGUGUGUGCAGAGAGUGUUGCCACUUCCUGUGCCUUCCAAGGCGCUUUCUUUGAUUGGAGAUUGCUGCCGUUUCUUCACCUUCUAUCUAGGACACUGUGUUGGAUCAAAGGAUUGGAUAUAUGGAUAAAGGUUUGAUGUUUAAAAGGGCUAACAUAGGGCGUAAAUAUGAGCUCCAAUCUGGAGAGGAUUUCUCUUUUUCUCGCGUAAUCUUUAGCUCUUCAUAUUUGAUGGGGGUGGUUCAAGAUUAACUGGCAAUCAAUGCUCGAUAUAUAUAGAUC
RNAcentral lists this small RNA (308 nucleotides) under Histoplasma capsulatum var. duboisii H88. RNAcentral's name for it is "Histoplasma capsulatum H88 hypothetical RNA". Lineage: Eukaryota; Fungi; Ascomycota; Eurotiomycetes; Onygenales; Ajellomycetaceae. The record is from RNAcentral.